This 512-nucleotide ribosomal RNA is filed under the name uncultured Planctomycetota bacterium. RNAcentral's name for it is "bacterial SSU rRNA". It matches the Rfam family "Bacterial small subunit ribosomal RNA", at positions 382 to 896 of the family's 1533-position model. The record is from RNAcentral. Lineage: Bacteria; Pseudomonadati; Planctomycetota.
CCUGACCGAGCGACGCCGCGUGCGGGAUGAAGGCCUUCGGUGUAAACCGCUGUCGUAGGGGAGGAAGAUGCCGUGAAGAACGGUGUUUGACCGAUCCUAGGAGGAAGGGCCGGCUAAUCUCGUGCCAGCAGCCGCGGUAAUACGAGAGGCCCAAACGUUAUUCGGAUUUACUGGGCUUAAAGAGUUCGUAGGCGGCGCGGAAAGUAGGGUGUGAAAGCCCUCGGCUCAACCGAGGAAUUGCGCCCUAAACUGCCGUGCUCGAGGAACCUAGAGGUGAGCAGAACAGAUGGUGGAGCGGUGAAAUGCGUUGAUAUCAUCUGGAAUACCGGAGGCGAAGGCGGCUCACUGGGGGUUUUCUGACGCUGAGGAACGAAAGCCAGGGGAGCGAACGGGAUUAGAUACCCCGGUAGUCCUGGCCGUAAACGAUGAGCACUAGGCCGGAGGUCUGCACAGAUUUCCGGCCGUAGCUAAAGUGUUAAGUGCUCCGCCUGGGGAGUAUGGUCGCAAGGCUG